CUCCUCAUGCACUAACGUGCGAAGGGGUUACCUCGAGUGCUACCUGAAGAAGGUGGCUUUUCCAUUGUCUAAAAAGCAUAGGGAAUAAGAGGGGGGCAAGACUGGUGUCAGCCGCCGCGGUAACACCAGCCCCUCGAGUGGUGGGGAUGAUUAUUUGGCCUAAAGCGUCCGUAGCCGGCUAGGUAAGUUUCCCGUUAAAUCCAACGUCUCAAGCGUUGGACUGCGGGAAAUACUGCCUGGCUAGAGAGUGGGAGAGGUCAGCGGUAUUCUGGGGGUAGGGGCGAAAUCCUUUGAUCCCCGGAGGACCACCAGUGGCGAAGGCUGCUGACUAGAACACGUCUGACGGUCAGGGACGAAAGCUGGGGUAGCGAACCGGAUUAGAUACCCGGGUAGUCCCAGCCGUAAACGAUGCAUGCUAGGUGUUGGGUUGGCCACGAGCCACCCCAGUGCCGCAGGGAAGCCGUUAAGCAUGCCGCCUGGGAAGUACGAUCGCAAGAUUGAAACUUAAAGGAAUUGGCGGGGGAGCAC
RNAcentral lists this ribosomal RNA (528 nucleotides) under uncultured archaeon. Its description in RNAcentral is "bacterial SSU rRNA". It matches the Rfam family "Archaeal small subunit ribosomal RNA", at positions 348 to 879 of the family's 1478-position model. The record is from RNAcentral.